AUUGAACGCUGGCGGCAGGCCUAACACAUGCAAGUCGAGCGGAUGAAGUAGCUUGCUACUGAUUCAGCGGCGGACGGGUGAGUAAUGCCUAGGAAUCUGCCUGGUAGUGGGGGACAACGUUUCGAAAGGAACGCUAAUACCGCAUACGUCCUACGGGAGAAAGUGGGGGACCCUCGGGCCUCACGCUAUCAGAUGAGCCUAGGUCGGAUUAGCUAGUUGGUGGGGUAAUGGCUCACCAAGGCGACGAUCCGUAACUGGUCUGAGAGGAUGAUCAGUCACACUGGAACUGAGACACGGUCCAGACUCCUACGGGAGGCAGCAGUGGGGAAUAUUGGACAAUGGGCGAAAGCCUGAUCCAGCCAUGCCGCGUGUGUGAAGAAGGUCUUCGGAUUGUAAAGCACUUUAAGUUGGGAGGAAGGGUCGUAACCUAAUACGUUGCGAUUUUGACGUUACCAACAGAAUAAGCACCGGCUAACUUCGUGCCAGCAGCCGACGG
Molecule: ribosomal RNA, 496 nt
Filed under: uncultured bacterium
Lineage: Bacteria
Description: bacterial SSU rRNA
Rfam family: Bacterial small subunit ribosomal RNA
Source: RNAcentral